GGUUUCGUAGCUCAGUUGGUUAUAACAUUGGUCUUAUGAGCUGAAGGUCGCAGGUUCAAGCCUCGCCGCGACCA
RNAcentral lists this transfer RNA (74 nucleotides) under Ipomoea nil (Japanese morning glory). It matches the Rfam family "tRNA". From Rfam's summary of the family: Transfer RNA (tRNA) molecules are approximately 80 nucleotides in length. Their secondary structure includes four short double-helical elements and three loops (D, anti-codon, and T loops). The record is from Rfam by way of RNAcentral. Lineage: Eukaryota; Viridiplantae; Streptophyta; Magnoliopsida; Solanales; Convolvulaceae.